RNAcentral lists this ribosomal RNA (433 nucleotides) under uncultured bacterium. RNAcentral's name for it is "partial 16S ribosomal RNA". It matches the Rfam family "Bacterial small subunit ribosomal RNA", at positions 29 to 507 of the family's 1533-position model. The record is from RNAcentral.
AACGAACGCUGGCGGCAUGCCUAACACAUGCAAGUCGAACGAGACCUUCGGGUCUAGUGGCGCACGGGUGCGUAACGCGUGGGAACCUGCCCUAAGGUUCGGAAUAACUCCCCGAAAGGGGUGCUAAUACCGGAUAAUGUCUUCGGACCAAAGAUUUAUCGCCUUUGGAUGGGCCCGCGUUGGAUUAGCUAGUUGGUAGGGUAAAAGCCUACCAAGGCGACGAUCCAUAGCUGGUCUGAGAGGAUGAUCAGCCACACUGGGACUGAGACACGGCCCAGACUCCUACGGGAGGCAGCAGUGGGGAAUAUUGGACAAUGGGCGAAAGCCUGAUCCAGCAAUGCCGCGUGAGUGAUGAAGGCCUUAGGGUUGUAAAGCUCUUUUACCCGGGAUGAUAAUGACAGUACCGGGAGAAUAAGCUCCGGCUAACUCCGUG